RNAcentral lists this small RNA (29 nucleotides) under Bombyx mori (domestic silkworm). RNAcentral's name for it is "ovarian small RNA-34736". Lineage: Eukaryota; Metazoa; Arthropoda; Insecta; Lepidoptera; Bombycidae. The record is from RNAcentral.
UGGCACAGGAUAACGGGCCGUCCCUCGGC